GAUGAACGUUGGCGGUGUGCCUAAUACAUGCAAGUCGAACGGAGUUAAUAGCAAUAUUGACUUAGUGGCGAACGGGUGAGUAACGCGUUGGUGAUCUGCCUCAAAGUGUGGAAUAACGUUCCGAAAGGAACGCUAAUACCGCAUGUGCUCUCGUAUUUUAGAAAGUUGAGAGUAAAGGAUUUAUUCGCUUUGAGAGGAGCCUGCGUCCCAUCAGUUAGUUGGUAGGGUAAUAGCCUACCAAGGCUUUGACGGGUAGCCGGCCUGAGAGGGUGAACGGCCACACUGGGACUGAGACACGGCCCAGACUCCUACGGGAGGCAGCAGUGAGGAAUUUUCCGCAAUGGGCGCAAGCCUGACGGAGCGACGCCGCGUGAGGGAUGACAGCUUUCGGGUUGUAAACCUCUUUUAUUAAGGAAAAAGAUCUAUAUGCUAAUAUCAUGUAGAUUUGAUGGUACUUAUUGAAUAAGCCCCGGCUAACUACGUG
This 484-nucleotide ribosomal RNA is filed under the name uncultured bacterium. Its description in RNAcentral is "bacterial SSU rRNA". It matches the Rfam family "Bacterial small subunit ribosomal RNA", at positions 28 to 507 of the family's 1533-position model. The record is from RNAcentral.